AGUGGCGAACGGGUGAGUAACACGUGGGUGAUCUGCCCUGCACUUCGGGAUAAGCCUGGGAAACUGGGUCUAAUACCGGAUAGGAGCCAUUUUUAGUGUGAUGGUUGGAAAGUUUUUUCGGUGUAGGAUGAGCUCGCGGCCUAUCAGCUUGUUGGUGGGGUAAUGGCCUACCAAGGCGGCGACGGGUAGCCGGCCUGAGAGGGUGGACGGCCACAUUGGGACUGAGAUACGGCCCAAACUCCUACGGGAGGCAGCAGUGGGGAAUAUUGCACAAUGGGCGCAAGCCUGAUGCAGCGACGCCGCGUGGGGGAUGACGGCCUUCGGGUUGUAAACUCCUUUCGCUAGGGACGAAGCUUUUUGUGACGGUACCUAGAUAAGAAGCACCGGCUAACUACGUGCCAGCAGCCGCGGUAAUACGUAGGGUGCGAGUGUUGUCCGGAAUUACUGGGCGUAAAGGGCUCGUAGGUGGUUUGUCGCGUCGUCUGUGAAAUUCCGGGGCUUAACUCCGGGCGUGCAGGCGAUACGGGCAUAACUUGAGUACUGUAGGGGUAACUGGAAUUCCUGGUGUAGCGGUGAAAUGCGCAGAUAUCAGGAGGAACACCGAUGGCGAAGGCAGGUUACUGGGCAGUUACUGACGCUGAGGAGCGAAAGCAUGGGUAGCGAACAGGAUUAGAUACCCUGGUAGUCCAUGCCGUAAACGGUGG
RNAcentral lists this ribosomal RNA (704 nucleotides) under uncultured Actinomycetes bacterium. RNAcentral's name for it is "bacterial SSU rRNA". It matches the Rfam family "Bacterial small subunit ribosomal RNA", at positions 94 to 812 of the family's 1533-position model. Lineage: Bacteria; Bacillati; Actinomycetota; Actinomycetes. The record is from RNAcentral.